RNAcentral lists this ribosomal RNA (484 nucleotides) under uncultured bacterium. RNAcentral describes it as "partial 16S ribosomal RNA". It matches the Rfam family "Bacterial small subunit ribosomal RNA", at positions 30 to 507 of the family's 1533-position model. The record is from RNAcentral.
AUUGAACGCUGGCGGCAGGCCUAAUACAUGCAAGUCGAGCGGACGAAGGGGGCUUGCUCCUGGCUUCCGCGAGCGACGGGCGAGUAAUGCAUAGGUAUAUGCCUGACCUAGGGGGCUAACGUCCGGACACGGGCGCUGAUACCAUAUACGUCCAGAUGGUGAACGUGGUGGUUCUUUGGACAAAAAGCUUUCUGCUGACCCUAGGUCGGAUUAGCUAGUUGGUUUGGUAAAGGCCUACCAAGGCGACGAUCCGUAACUGGUCUGAGAGGAUGAUCAGUCACACUGGAACUGAGACACGGUCCAGACUCCUACGGGAGGCAGCAGUGGGGAAUAUUCGACAAUGGGCGAAAGCCUGAUGGAGCAAUGCCGCGUGUGUGAAGAAGGUCUUCGGAUUGUAAAGCUCUGUUAGUUGGGAGGAAGAACAGUGAGAGUAUACAUGCCUGUUUUGACGGUACCAACAGAGAAAGCAACGGCUAACUACGUG